RNAcentral lists this ribosomal RNA (440 nucleotides) under uncultured bacterium. RNAcentral's name for it is "partial 16S ribosomal RNA". It matches the Rfam family "Bacterial small subunit ribosomal RNA", at positions 338 to 795 of the family's 1533-position model. The record is from RNAcentral.
CCUACGGGUGGCAGCAGUGGGGAAUAUUGCACAAUGGGGGAAACCCUGAUGCAGCGACGCCGCGUGAGCGAAGAAGUAUUUCGGUAUGUAAAGCCCUAUCAGCAGGGAAGAAAAUGACGGUACCUGAGUAAGAAGCUCCGGCUAAAUACGUGCCAGCAGCCGCGGUAAUACGUAUGGAGCAAGCGGUAUCCGGAUUUACUGGGGGUAAAGGGGGCGCAGGCGGCCUAGCAAGUCUGAUGGGAAAUGCCGAGGCUCAACCCCGGAGGUGCAUUGGAAACUGUGAGGCUGGAGUGUCGGAGAGGCAGGCGGAAUGCCUAGUGUAGCGGUGAAAUGCGUAGAUAUUAGGAGGAACACCAGUGGCGAAGGCGGCCUGCUGGACGAUGACUGACGCUGAGGCUCGAAAGCGUGGGGAGCAAACAGGAUUAGAUACCCGUGUAGUC